This 373-nucleotide ribosomal RNA is filed under the name uncultured bacterium. RNAcentral describes it as "bacterial SSU rRNA". It matches the Rfam family "Bacterial small subunit ribosomal RNA", at positions 794 to 1220 of the family's 1533-position model. The record is from RNAcentral.
UCCACGCCCUAAACGAUGAACACUAGUCGUCGGGAUGCUAGUCAUCUCGGUGAUGCACUUAACAGAUUAAGUGUUCCGCCUGGGGAGUACGGUCGCAAGAUUAAAACUCAAAGGAAUAGACGGGGACCCGCACAAGUGGUGGAGCAUGUGGUUUAAUUCGAAAAUACGCGAAGAACCUUACCUAGCCUUGACAUUGAAGAAACACACUAGAGAUAGAGUGGUGCCCUUCGGGGAAUCUGAAAACAGGUGCUGCACGGCAGUCUCCUUAGUUGCCAGCAGGUUAAGCUGGGCACUUUAAGGAGACUGCCUUCGUAAGGAGGAGGAAGGUGAGGACGACGUCAAGUCAUCAUGGCCCUUAUGGCUGGGCUACACA